AACGAACGCUGGCGGCAUGCCUAACACAUGCAAGUCGAACGGGAUCCAGGCUUCGGCCUGGUGAGAGUGGCGGACGGGUGAGUAACGCGUGGGAACCUGCCCAAUGGUCUGGGAUAACCGCGGGAAACUGCGGCUAAUACCGGAUAAGCCCGAGAGGGGAAAGAUUUAUCGCCGAUGGAGGGGCCCGCGUCAGAUUAGGUAGUUGGUGGGGUAAUGGCCUACCAAGCCUACGAUCUGUAGCNGGUCUGAGAGGAUGAUCAGCCACACUGGGACUGAGAUACGGCCCAGACUCCUACGGGAGGCAGCAGUGGGGAAUAUUGGACAAUGGGGGCAACCCUGAUCCAGCAAUGCCGCGUGAGUGAUGAAGGCCUUAGGGUUGUAAAGCUCUUUUGCCAGGGACGAUGAUGACGGUACCUGGAGAAUAACGCCCCGGCUAACUUCGUGCCAGCCGCCGCCGUAAU
This 461-nucleotide ribosomal RNA is filed under the name uncultured bacterium. RNAcentral describes it as "bacterial SSU rRNA". It matches the Rfam family "Bacterial small subunit ribosomal RNA", at positions 29 to 524 of the family's 1533-position model. The record is from RNAcentral.